GAUGAAGAACGUAGCGAAACGCGAUAAGUAAUGUGAAUUGCAGAAUUCAGUGAAUCAUCGAAUCUUUGAACGCACCUUGCGCCCUUUGGCCAUUCCGAAGGGCAUGCCUGUUUGAGUAUCAUGAACACCUCAACUCUUCAUGGUUUUCCGUGAUGAGCUUGGACUUUGGGGGUCUUGCUGGCCUAUGGUCAGCUCCUCUAAAAUAAAUCAGCUUGCCAGUGUUUGGUGGGUAUCACAGGUGUGAUAACUAUCUACGCUUGUGGUUUUCCACCAGGUAACCUUCAGCAGUGGAGGUUCGCUGGAGCUCACAGAUGUGUCUCUCCUCAGUGAGGACAGCUCUUUGAAUGUUUGAUCUCAAAUCAGGUAGGACUACCCGCUGAACUUAAGCAUAUCAAUAAGCGGACGA
Molecule: unclassified non-coding RNA, 406 nt
Filed under: soil metagenome
Description: partial contains 5.8S ribosomal RNA, internal transcribed spacer 2, and large subunit ribosomal RNA
Rfam family: 5.8S ribosomal RNA (bases 1-121)
Source: RNAcentral